GUAAGAAAAGUCUCACCUAAUGCAACGAAUCUCUCCAUCCCAUAAUAAUACAGAAACCCCAUUGCUGGAAUUAUUAUCCGCCUGUCAAGAAUGAUGGAAUACAAGAAGUCCAUCUAAAAUCCAUAACAUCCCAAAAUUAUACAUACUACAGUUCCGAAUGUUUUACUCACUCAAUCUAUAAAACAGAUCAGCAGCAAGAAUCCAACCAACUUCAAACAGAAUAAGUUCACAAUCACUGCAUCCUGUUUACAGGUUCAAGUGCUUCAACAGUG
Molecule: unclassified non-coding RNA, 272 nt
Filed under: Hevea brasiliensis (rubber tree)
Lineage: Eukaryota; Viridiplantae; Streptophyta; Magnoliopsida; Malpighiales; Euphorbiaceae
Source: RNAcentral